Molecule: ribosomal RNA, 403 nt
Filed under: uncultured bacterium
Lineage: Bacteria
Description: partial 16S ribosomal RNA
Rfam family: Bacterial small subunit ribosomal RNA
Source: RNAcentral
AUUGAACGCUGGCGGCAGGCCUAACACAUGCAAGUCGAGCGAGCGGCGCACGGGUGAGUAAUGUAUGGGGACUGCCCGAUAGAGUGGGGUAACUACUGGAAACGGUAGCUAAUACCGCAUACUAUCGGAUAACACAUAUGGGCUUAGCUAGUAGGUGAGGUAAUGGCUCACCUAGGCGACGAUCCCUAGCUGGCCUGAGAGGAUGAUCAGCCACGCUGGGACUGAGCGAAGGCCCAGCCUCCGACGGAGGCAGCAGUGGGGAAUAUUGCACAAUGGGCGCAGGCCUGAUGCAGCCAUGCCGCGUGUAUGAAGAAGGCCCUAGGGUUGUAAAGUACUUUCAGUCGGGAGGCGUUACCGACAGAAGAAGCACCGGCUAACUCCGUGCCAGCCGCCGCGGUAAUUC